This is a non-coding RNA of Rattus norvegicus (Norway rat), 7319 nucleotides long. The record is from RefSeq and is a predicted model, not a curated record. NCBI's taxonomy places the organism in Eukaryota, Metazoa, Chordata, Mammalia, Rodentia, Muridae.
AGUGACCUGUGAGGAAAAGAGCAGAGACACAGUAAGAACGUGCCUGUCUUUAGAAGUCACGGGGUGAGACAGCAGACGCCAAUGUAACAUGACUGGGCUGCCCUAGUCCACCAGGAGCUUAAACUGUUUAAGACGAAUGGCUCAAAGGCAUUUGAGAAGAUGAGCAAGUCAGAGCAGAAGGAAACAGUGACCCAAAGAAGUUUACGCAUGUGCAAGCGUGAGUUCCAGCACAUCUGUUGGAACCUACUUCUACAGAAGACCAGCUGAAACAACUAGCCUCGUGGGACUGAGCAACUAGAGACUACCAGACUCCACUUCCCAUCCACAGCUGCCCAUUGUUGGGUUAGUUGGACUACAGACUGCAAUGCCUUGCUGCUCUUUGGCUGAACUAUGUGCUGCAGAAAAGCAGGAAUCUUUAGACCAUUUUGCCCGCUCUGCGUCCUCUGCUCUGGAAUAAUGGCUGCUCUGAGGUUACCUGUCCAGGAUGCAUUGGGCAUGGCGCCAGGGACUCCUGCAACAAUGACAACAUUGCACUAAGAACCACAAGCUCAACCGUCACAGUCUCCACAUCCCUUCCUCCUUCUUCAGGCUGGUGUGUUUCCACACAACAGUUGUCUCCCUGGAUGGAAACAGUACUCUCUUCUCAGAUGUGACAACUGAAAAAAAGCGUCUGCAGCCAUUGCCUCAUGUCGUCUGGGGAAGCAACACUGUUCCACUUGAGCAACACGUGGCAGGCCAUCCCCACAGCCUCUACACCCCAGCAAGCUCUGGAUAAGUCACGGAAGCAGAAGGGCCCACUUAACCAUAUAGGGUAGUUGUACCCCCAAGUAAUACAAACCUCAGGACUGGAAAUGGCGGUGGGUUUUAGAAUCCAGAUGUCUAAGGCAUCUGAGAAUGUAUAUAGGAAUCAAUACAAAUAUGAAAAGAGGCAUACUCAGCUUUGUGAGAACUGUAGCGUCUUUUCUGCCAUGACUAACACAAUUCAUAAUUUCAUGUAUACAGAAUAUCAUUUAGAGGUAAUGACGCUAUGCAAAUAUCUGGACUCAAAAUGCAAUAGGAAAUUCCAAGAUAAUAAAACACACUUUGGUAGAAGGGAUAAUGUUCCUUUUACACACACACACAAACACACACACACACACACACACACACACACACACACACACACACAGAGGAACCCUGUGAGCAUGCUAUAUUACAUGGCAAAGAAGAACUUCAGUUGCUCUGGUGCUGGGCUUCAAAUAGGCUAUCCUGGACUAUUUGGAUGGGUUCAAAGACCCAAGCAGUGGGAGUCCUGAUAAGCUAGACUUCAGCCUUUUACUCCAGUAUGCCGAUCAAAGGUAAGCAGUCAAAUGCGAGUGAUCAAAGGCAGAAGAGACUUCAUGCAUAUCGAGAAGCACAGAGAAAUCAGGCCAAUAAGCCCACGUCCAGCUUCAUCAUUGAAGUCAUGAGCUUUACGUUUCAACAGAGGGAGAACCAGGGUGGGUUGGAGGCAAGAGUCAGGCAGAUCGAGCUCUCCUUUGCCAAAGGCUGGUUUGGUUGAUCAUUAGUCCUUGGUGACUGUAAGAAGCCCCAGUUGCUUGUUAGGCCACGUCCAUUCCCCCUUAUCCUUAUUAGAAAGUAAUUCAAUAGGAUUGAACAUUGAAAACUAACCCAUCUUACCUUAAAAAAAAAAGUCAAACCAUUAACAAUGUACAUUUCAGAAAACAGACCUGGUUCUUACUCGCAGCCACAUAAUUAUGGACCAAUCUAAACCUAGAAUUUUACCAAGGCUUCCAACAAAAAUGGAAUGUUGCCUCAACCUAAUCUGUAAAUACUGUGGAUCUUUAACCCCUGGACUCUCUACCAGGUGAGAAUCCUUUUUCUUUUCUUUUUCUCUCGGACUUGCAAGCCUUCAACAGAAAGACUUCAGUGGUACCACUUCCUACUGCUUUGUGUUUCAAAACUUCAAAGGUUACUGUAGUGCCUGCCUAUCCAAAAAGAAGCUUCCUUAUUUUGUUCUUGAUACAUACUCUUACAUAACUUAGACUACAAGAAAACAUUCCUAUUAAAACUUGCCUGGAGAGUGUGGAAAUCCAGGAGGAAAGUCAAUGUAUUUUUCUCUUGUCAAGCUAAUCCGCGUGUGAUGUUUUUGAGUCUAUUUAGAUUAAAUAACUACGUCGGACAGCUAACGACACCUUCCUGACAAACAGCUCUUCAUCUUUGAUCAAGUCCGUGUCUGAGAAGACAUUUUUCUCUUUCAUGUUCAUUAACAUUGAUUAUACAAACUGAGAAACGCCUUCUAUCAUCCCAGAGAUCUGAUCAGCACAUUUACAAUUAAUGACUGCCUAGUAGACACAUACACCCAUAAAUCUCCAGCUAGUGAAAUUCCAAACUCCAAAUUCCAAAUCUGAUGACAGGCCUCAAACAUGUCUGUUUAAAUAUUAUCUGUGGUUCAUAUUUCUGCAUAAAAUAUGAUAGUUAUUAACAGAAGGGGGAACAAUGAGACCUUGUCUCCCCCUAUCUCUCAUAAACUCCCGGACAUAGAGAAGCCUGGAAAAAAAUGGGUGUGGCUCCUGGCGUAUAGCUGGCUAUUCCACUGUGGUUCUUGGAUUGAAUGGAACAUCAUCACCUGGAAACUCACGAGAAACGUAGUCUUGGGCCCCACCCAGACUUCCUGAAGCAGGACAGGCACCUCCCAACCAUCACAGAAUCCUCUGCAUGACCACGUGUGAGGAAAGAUGAGAGGCCACAAGAGCAGUCACCUGCCUUUCUGCCAGCCUUCCUUCAUCUAGCUGCAUGCUUAACCCUGUCCUGAAAUCCCAUCGUACUCAAAUCUGCUCUGAAGGCCAGUUCGCUGCUCCUGUGUCCUUUGUUCAAUUUAAUUCGUCUGUCUCUGUUGCUGGGACAUGUGUGUGUGUUUAAUUUUUAUUUUAUAUGUAUGUGUAUUUUGAAGGCAUGUGCGUCUGGUGUCCUAGGAGCUGGAAGAGGCCACUGGAUCCUCUGGGACUGGGACUGGAGUUACUGGAGCUGUGAGCUGCCACACGGGUGCUAGGAACCAGUCCAGGUCCUCUGCUUGGUAUCACUGGGUAUUUAGUAUCUUAGAUUUUUUCUCACCAAUGAAAUGAGUAUAUGAAAUCAGUGCUUUUUAGUUUAGACUGACUGCAACCCAAGGGGUGGGGGGUUACAUUCUCAUUCUGUCUGUCUGUCUGUCUGUCUGUCUCUGUCUCUGUCUCUGUCUGUCUCUCUCUCAUUCUGUCUGUCUCAGUCUCUCUCUGUGUCUCUCUCUCUCUCUGUCUGUCUGUCUCUCUCUCUUUCUCUCUAUCUCACACAUGCACACACGUGCACAUGCAUUCACACACACAUUUAUAUAAUACAAACAUAAAUUUAAUAAAACAAUAUGUAGGCUUCUUCCAGGAAUGACAUUUGUUUACACUGCUGUCUAGUUCCCUUUAAAAAAAAAAUCCAGUCAACAGCUUCUGAGGCGGGGCUUAGAGGUAUAUGCUGGGUAGAAGGCUUCACCUAGCAUACACAAAGCCCAGGCUUUGAUCCUCAGUACUAAAUAAACUGGCUGAAUAGAAGCGCAUUCAGGAAAGAGCAGCAGGAAGACCGGAAGUUCAAGGUCACCCUUUACUAAACUCUGAACUGGGGCCAGCCUGGGAUAUACGAGAUGCUGUCUCAAAAUAAUCAAAAGUUACUAAAUCAAGACAAUUACUGAGGUCUCUUCUGGAUGCUACGAUGGGGAAUAAUCGCUACUUUCAAAAUACACAGGCUACAAUUCAGUUAUAGAGUAUAGUUCCUCCUCUAUGAUCAUUAUCAUAUUUACGGCCAAAGCGCUGGCAGGACAGUCACGGCAGAUCUGGGCACGUGUUUAUCUUCGAUUCACAAGAAACCUAACUGAGUUGCAUUUUUUUUUCAUUAUUUCCAAGAGAAGGUAAAAGGGAGAUUGUCUGUGUUAUCAGAAAAAACAUUUUCACCAAAAAAAAAAUUCCACUUCUCUCCUUUGCACUUCAGGGGCGUCUGUAAAUAGAACAUUUGAGAUAAAAUUUGUAGAGGAACGUGGAAUGUUUUUCUUGGGUUUCGACCUUUCCAGGUCAAAUAACUGUGCUUGUUAAGUAAACGAAUAGGAUUCUUUGAAAUGUGAGCUUUGUUUCUGUGAACUUCACGUCUCCUCUCCGGCUCCCUGGUUUCCUCUCCUCAUCUGGAGAGACAACAAGUGAUGACAAGUUCCAGCAGCCGCUUGAUUCCAGCCCAGAUAAUAUCCUCUUUCUCCCACUGACUGGACUCUCAAGGGGUGUAAACACCAAGCACUGAGAUGUCUCACAAUUUAACAAUGGUGCUGGACAGUGAGACAAUUCUAGAAGGAUCCUGGCUAGCAAGAAAGAAAAGCUACCGGAACUGCCUCCUGCUUUGGUCCAUUCGAACCAAUUCCCUCAAAAUGAGAUACAAUACUUUCUGGAAGACAUAGAUGUAUACAGGAGGCUGGUGACCAACAUUGUCACACAUACUGACAAACAUAGUUCUGAAGUCAGGACUUCAAGUUGUUUGACUUUAAACAACUAAUUUACUCCCACGAAGGCGCGGUGUGACAAAUCCUGGCAGGACUUUGUUGGGGCAGCCAUCUCUACCUUGGGGGGGUUGGAUCAAGGAUCUCCCUCCCCCUACCUUCUUUGGAUACCAAAAUCUGAAGAUGCUCAAGUCCCUCACAGACAGUGGUGCGGGAUCUGCCCACAACUUUCCAGCCUGGCAGGAAGGAGGACAGACAGUUUUGUUUGUUUCAUUUUUCCUGACAGGGUCUUUCUGACUAUGUGCAGCCCUGACUGUUCUGGAACUCUCUCUGUAGACGAGACUGUCCUCAAACUAACAGAGAUCCGCUUGCUUCUACUGGGAUUACUGCCACCCUAAGGAGAUAUUUUGAGAGAGAGAGAGAGAGAGAGAGAGAGAGAGAGAGAGAGAGAGAGAUCCUUGUGACCCUCCUGAUUACUCAAUGGUCCCAAAGGAAUUGGAAUUUCCCCAGGAAUUUCAGACUGGCAGAAACCUGGUGCCAGCUGGAUGGAGAACUUAUCUUCCAGAAUGGCAUUUCCUCAAACAACCUUGCAGAAGGACCCAGAGCAGAGACAAUGAUGGAUCAAACCAACCGGGGCCUGCUUAGUGUCUGCUUAGCUUUGUAUAACUCUGACCCUCUUCUCCAACCAAGAUGGGGAAGAUGGACUUGGGGUGGGCUGGGAGGGCUAUCUUUGUCUUUCUGAAUGUGGCUAACAUUGACUUUUUCUGCUUUUCAGUGUCAGUGGUUUAGCUGGCUGCCAGAGAAUGGGGGCGGGGGAGGGAUGCGAGUCUGCACACGCUCCACAGAGACAUGCUUAUUUUGUUCUCAGUAAUUUUGGUCUUAGUAAUAGUUGGUUGAGUUUGCAGUCAUGAGUGAGAGCAGCUGUAGUAGAGAAGGGACUAGUAAAAGACAAAUAAUGCAGGGGAGGCAGAGGCGGGCGGAUCUCAGGGUUCGAGGCCAGCCUGGUCUACACGGUGAGUUCCAGGACAGCCAGGACCACAGGGAGAAACAUGUCUUGAAAACCCCAAACCAAACUCAAACAAACAAACAAGCAAACCACAACAAUGAAAACAGAUAUAGAGCUAACACGCGUGUUUAGCAUUUAAGUACCAUAAACAUUUGAAAGCAUAGUCCCUCUAUUAAAAUCUCAGGGACUAUGUGUGUUUCUUUUCCUUUGCUAUGAUGAAAUACGAGGGCAAAAAGAACUUAAGAGAAAAAGAUUAUUUUGUUUUACAGCUCCUAGGGGAUGGAAUCCGUCAUGGUGGGGAAGACAAAGAGACAGGAACAGGAAGAUGAGUAAUGGGGACAAGCUAUAAAACUUCCAAGCCCACCCCCAGGAAGAUGCACUUCCUCUGUCAAGCAUCCAUCUCCGAGAGGCUCUUCAGUCUUCCCAAACAGUGAUAGACAGCAGCUAUCAGCUGAGAACCAAGGGUUGCAAGACCUGAGCCCCUAGAAGACAUUUUGCAUUCAAACCACAAUAGCCUAACCAUGGUUCUCUACUGUGGGAUGUCUUGGAUACCGUAGGAAAAUUAGCAACAGCCCUGGCCACUGUCCAGCAGUUAUCCUCCAACCCCAGUGUGUUCAUUAGCCAUCUCCACAAAUGCUGCCAAAGGUCACGUGAGGCUCCAUAUCACUCUUCUUGAUAUAAAAGGAAAAACAACAAACCAAGCAACCCACACACCCAGAAUAACGAGUCGAGUUGUAUAAUGUUAAUAAACCUGCACACACUCCUGCAUAUAAACUGUGAGGCAAGGGACUGGCACCUCAUACAACACACAUAUAUGCAGGCAAGACACUAAUGGGCAUAAAAUAAAAAUAAAUCUUGCAAAAACUGUCACUCAAGGAAAUACCAGUUUGCCUUCUUGUGGGACAUUUCUGUGAUGUCAAAGACAGCUUAGUAACAGAGUUUAUUGAUAUAUACCCGAAUCAUUGAUUUAACAAUUGGACUAUGCUAAUAAUUUAACCAGAGAAAAAUAGAGAAAAUGUUCACUUGCUGUAUAUCUUUAAUAAUAAACAGGCGGAACACUAGUCACAGGGGAACGCGGUGUCAAGUAACCUGGACCAGAAUUCUGACCGGUUAGCAUCUGGCCCAUAAGGCCCUAGUUUGUUUCCUGUGGAUUCUACAACUUUUCAGGCAAGGUGGACGGUCUUUGCAUUUAUCUCUGAUAACUGCUAAAAAUAGACUCCUCUCCAGCUGUAAAAGGGGAAGGACAGAGGACAGAGAGGAGAGGCCCUCCUCCCCAGAGUUUUAGAACCUAAGUGGUUUUAGACAUUUCUAAUAUAGGCACCCAAUCUGUAUAAACUAGAACCCAGAAAAUGGAUGGCAGUAGAUCAGGAGUGUGUGGGGGUGAGGGUGGGGGUUGUGUGUGGGGGUGUUGAGACAAGUAGUUUGGGGUGGGGUAGGGGUUUGCAAUGGGAUGAACCCAAGGUUUUGUGUGUGCUAAACAGCCAUCUUACCACCUAAAGUACCAGCUCAGCCCAACUCAGUUGAUUUUCUUUUGAGAUAAGAACUUAAAAUAGGGGUUGGGGAUUUAGCUCAGUGGUAGAGCACUUGCCUAGCAAGUGCAAGGCCCUGGGUUCGGUCCUCAGCUCUGAAACAAAGAAAAAAAAAGAACUUAAAAUAGGGCUGGAGAGAUGGCUCAAUGGUUAAGAGCACUGACUGCUCUUCCAGAGGUCCUGAGUUCAAUUCCCAGCAACCACAUGGUGGCUCACAAACAUCUGUAAUGGGAUCCAAUGUCCUCUUCUGGUGUGUCUGAAGACAGCUACAGUGUACUCAUAUACAUAAAAUAAAUAAAUA